This is a long non-coding RNA of Marmota monax (woodchuck), 2769 nucleotides long. RefSeq lists it as uncharacterized. The record is from RefSeq and is a predicted model, not a curated record. NCBI's taxonomy places the organism in Eukaryota, Metazoa, Chordata, Mammalia, Rodentia, Sciuridae. The transcript has 4 exons.
UGUCAGGUGGCCCUGAAACACGUGAGUGUGCUGGGUUUCAUUUUCUCAGGAUUCCAGGCUCCAGUUUGUUGGCAGAGCCACAGUCCUAAGCAGACUGGUCCUGAGGGAGGCAGAUCCUAACUCAUCAUCUCAGAAGGCUUAGGUUUGACCUCAGAGGCCAGGGCUGCUGUGUUCAGAGGCACGGAGGGGUAAACAUAUGAAGGGCAAAGGAAGAAGAUCAAAUGCAGCUUUCUCUGCAGAGCCGGUGAACGGGAUUUCAGGUAGCUGGAGACCACACUUGCACGAUGGAACACGCCUCUCUCUAAGGGCCUUGGUGAUUUCUUAGGAAGCUUUGUGUUCUCAGAACCAAGCAGAACUCAAGUCCUGAUGCCCGCUCUUUCAGAUCUCCUGCCCACCACAGCUGAGCCUCAGACCUCCACAAAGCCUACCUGGAUCAACUCUUCCUUAUCUGCCCCCACCCAAAACCACCAUUCUACUUUCUGUUUCUAUGAUGAAGAGCCCAGGACGGUCCGGUCUGAGAAAGAAGAACAAGAAGAGCUCAGCCCAAACAUCAAAAUCAGAGGUUCAGUGGAAGGAAUUCAAUCAUCAAGCAGUAAGAAGGAGUAAAGCAAUGGAUGUAGAAGCAGAGGCAGUUUUCAGAAUUGAGUAGAUGAGUUGGAUGGUCUGGCCUUGGGUAGUGAGUGCCUGGAAUGUGGGUGUGCUCACUAAAGCAGAAUAUGAACUGUAGGUCACUAUCAGAUAUCAGAUAAGACUUCCAUCUAUGAUUGGUGAGCAAAUGACUAUGACUAAAGUAGAUGGAAAGCAGGUCAGAGGGUGAAGACUGGGGAUUACAAAGGGUAUUUGCCACUAUCAGGAUUUGUUGCUGACUUGAGAAGUGGGCAGAUCUGUGAUAAAACCCCCUGUGAUAGUUCACCAGGAGUGGAGUGGUUGAGUAAGUCCUUGGGGUAUUGCAAUCUGGGCACAGAAACCAUAAGCAUUAUGUAUCAAAGGGCACCAUGCCAAUGAUGACCUAAUAGCAUUGGGAAAGUAGACUGAGAGAGGUCAAGAACUUAGAUGAUGGUGUCCCCAAGGCAUCAAACUGACCAGUGUGAAGGACCAGACACCACUUCUACUGUGUAUGCUGGGGUGGAAGGAAGUAUGAAAAAAGUAGAAAGAGCAAUAGAUUUUGAAGUCAGACAAAUCUAACUUCAAAAUGUGUUGCCUUUUACAUAUGGGUGACCUUAAACCACGUAAAUAUCAAUCGUCUCGUGUAUACUCCAAAUUAGAGCAAUAUCUGCUCUGGAAUUAAGGGUAAAUUAUGCAAUAUACUAGCACAAUUCCUGGCCUACAUGCAGUCAAUAAGUGAUUGCAGUGAUCAUAACAAUUUGUCUCCUAGCUCAGAGCAGCCUGCAAAGUAGUCUGUGGUCCCCUCUGUUAUUCCAAACUGCAGGAUAGGAGGUUUUUUGUUGUUGCUGUUUUUCCAGAUAUUUUUGAUAUUUAGUUCAUAAUGUAUGUGAUGAACUCAAAGACGGAGGUGGGGGUUGGGGCCGAGGGAGAAGGCAGCCAGUCAGCUAGGCAGCCCAGCAGGCCAAUAGGUUCAUCUUUGUUUUGUUUUAAUGGCACAGAUCCAAGUCAUUAGAUUUUUUGUCACACAGAGUCUGGUACUUUGAGAUGACUUAUCCAUACUGUGAAUGUGUGUUUAAGUAUUGUUAAAAUCUAUUUUAUCAUUAUUGUAUGUUCCCUUACAAGUAAAAACAACAACAGGCUCUGGGGUUGUAGCUCAGCAGAAGAGUGCUCACCCAGCACAUGCAAGGCCCUGCGUUCGAUCCUCAGCACCACAUAAAAAUGAACAAAUAAGGGCUGGGGUUGUGGCUCAGGGGUAGAGCGCUCGCCUUGCAUGUGCCAAACCCCGGGUUCGAUCCUAAGCACAUAAUAAACAAGUGAAAUAAAGGUGUUGUGAACAACUACAACUAAAAAAUAAAUAAAUAAAUAAAAUAAAGGUAUUGUGUCCAUGUACAACUAAAAUAAACAAACAAGUAAACAACAACAAAACCAACCAAACCUCAGGUGUGACUUGAGGCAGUGGGUCCAAAAUUGUUAGUAAGAUCUGGCUGCUUCUUUCUCAUCAUUGUUUGUGCCCCAUUCCUCUGAGUUAGCUCCAUUCUUGAGCAGAUUCCGUUUACAGGCAAGAGAUGGUUACAACAGCACCAGUCUUUCAUCCUCUCACAUUUAAACCUAGUGUUGAAAAGAGAACACUGCUUUCCCAGAAAUGUCAUCCAAAGACUCACUGGUUUUGACUGAAUCAAGUGCACAACACUGAACCAAUCCUAAUCAUAGGAAAAAUAUUUCUGUUUGACUGAGGCUGGACUAGGUACUUCACAAGCUCCUGGAGUGAAGAAUAGAGAAGAUGUCAGGUGUCCAGGGCAGAAGUACGGACCAUGAGAGAAGAGUAAAUUCCUUACAUAGCUCAAAUCAGCAACCACCCAAUUCCUCGCUACUUCUGCUACUGUAACUUUUGCAGAUUUAAGGUGCUGAACAGUUUAGCUUAAAAUACAAUAGGGUAUUUUGCCUUAUGUUUUAUGUACCCAACAAGCCCAUCAUAGCUUUUCAGAACAAAAGGAAUUAGUGUAAAAGUGAGUGAGAUCUUUAUUCCCAGGAACCCAAGCCUUCAGAACCAUGUCCCACUCCUGGUAGAUUCUAACAGAGAUCCUAAAGCAAUUCAAGAUAGCUAACAUGAGCAGAGACCAGCUUAUUUUAGAAGUAGAGGGUAAAAUAUCAGCUGUGAGGUAU